This 77-nucleotide transfer RNA is filed under the name Acholeplasmataceae bacterium. RNAcentral describes it as "tRNA-Pro". It matches the Rfam family "tRNA". Rfam says of the family: Transfer RNA (tRNA) molecules are approximately 80 nucleotides in length. Their secondary structure includes four short double-helical elements and three loops (D, anti-codon, and T loops). Further hydrogen bonds mediate the characteristic L-shaped molecular structure. tRNAs have two regions of fundamental functional importance: the anti-codon, which is responsible for specific mRNA codon recognition, and the 3' end, to which the tRNAs corresponding amino acid is attached (by aminoacyl-tRNA synthetases). tRNAs cope with the degeneracy of the genetic code in two manners: having more than one tRNA (with a specific anti-codon) for a particular amino acid; and 'wobble' base-pairing, i.e. permitting non-standard base-pairing at the 3rd anti-codon position. RNAcentral also lists the same sequence under 1 other name. The record is from RNAcentral. Lineage: Bacteria; Bacillati; Mycoplasmatota; Mollicutes; Acholeplasmatales; Acholeplasmataceae.
CGGGGAGUAGCUUAGUUUGGUAGAGCGCUUGCCUUGGGAGCAAGAGGUCGCAGGUUCAAAUCCUGUCUCUCCGACCA